This 871-nucleotide ribosomal RNA is filed under the name uncultured bacterium. RNAcentral describes it as "bacterial SSU rRNA". It matches the Rfam family "Bacterial small subunit ribosomal RNA", at positions 11 to 890 of the family's 1533-position model. The record is from RNAcentral.
GUUUGAUCCUGGCUCAGGACGAACGCUGGCGGCGUGCUUAACACAUGCAAGUCGAACGGAAAGGCUCCAGCUUGCUGGAGUACUCGAGUGGCGAACGGGUGAGUAACACGUGGGUAAUCUGCCCUGCACUCUGGGAUAAGCCUGGGAAACUGGGUCUAAUACUGGAUAUGACCUUUCUCCUUAUGGGGUUUGGUGGAAAGUUUUUCGGUGUAGGAUGAGCCCGCGGCCUAUCAGCUUGUUGGUGGGGUGAUGGCCUACCAAGGCGACGACGGGUAGCCGGCCUGAGAGGGUGAUCGGCCACAUUGGGACUGAGAUACGGCCCAGACUCCUACGGGAGGCAGCAGUGGGGAAUAUUGCACAAUGGGCGCAAGCCUGAUGCAGCGACGCCGCGUGGGGGAUGACGGCCUUCGGGUUGUAAACUCCUUUCGCUAGGGACGAAGCUUUUUGUGACGGUACCUAGAUAAGAAGCACCGGCUAACUACGUGCCAGCAGCCGCGGUAAUACGUAGGGUGCGAGCGUUGUCCGGAAUUACUGGGCGUAAAGGGCUCGUAGGUGGUUUGUCGCGUCGUCUGUGAAAUUCCGGGGCUUAACUCCGGGCGUGCAGGCGAUACGGGCAUAACUUGAGUACUGUAGGGGUAACUGGAAUUCCUGGUGUAGCGGUGAAAUGCGCAGAUAUCAGGAGGAACACCGAUGGCGAAGGCAGGUUACUGGGCAGUUACUGACGCUGAGGAGCGAAAGCAUGGGUAGCGAACAGGAUUAGAUACCCUGGUAGUCCAUGCCGUAAACGGUGGGCGCUAGGUGUGAGGGUCUUUUCACGACUUUCGUGCCGUAGCUAACGCAUUAAGCGCCCCGCCGGGGGAGUACGGCCGCA